This 427-nucleotide ribosomal RNA is filed under the name uncultured prokaryote. RNAcentral's name for it is "bacterial SSU rRNA". It matches the Rfam family "Bacterial small subunit ribosomal RNA", at positions 355 to 774 of the family's 1533-position model. The record is from RNAcentral.
UGGGGAAUUUUGGACAAUGGGCGCAAGCCUGAUCCAGCCAUGCCGCGUGAGUGAAGAAGGCCUUCGGGUUGUAAAGCUCUUUUGUCAGGGAAGAAAUAGUCUGGGUUAAUACCCUGGGCGGAUGACGGUACCUGAAGAAUAAGCACCGGCUAACUACGUGCCAGCAGCCGCGGUAAUACGUAGGGUGCGAGCGUUAAUCGGAAUUACUGGGCGUAAAGCGUGCGCAGGCGGUUGUAUAAGUCAGAUGUGAAAUCCCCGGGCUCAACCUGGGAACGGCAUUGGAGACUGUACGGCUAGAGGGUAGCAGAGGGGGGUAGAAUUCCACGUGUAGCAGUGAAAUGCGUAGAGAUGUGGAGGAAUACCGAUGGCGAAGGCAGCCCCCUGGGUUACUACUGACGCUCAUGCACGAAAGCGUGGGGAGCAAACA